RNAcentral lists this transfer RNA (70 nucleotides) under Amblypharyngodon chulabhornae. RNAcentral describes it as "tRNA-Ser". Lineage: Eukaryota; Metazoa; Chordata; Actinopteri; Cypriniformes; Danionidae. The record is from RNAcentral.
GAGAAAGAUUUUAAAAAUAGUAAGUACUGCUAAUCCUUACAACCCGUGGUUAAAGUCCAUGGCUUCCUCG